CUGAUUUCCCCAGGCCGACGAGCUUCUCCACCACUCCCAGGUCCAACAUCUGCUCCAUGCAUGUCAUGUUUCCCAUUUCGACUAUAUCGAGGAUCAGUAGCAUGCUCAGCUUCCUGGUCACGACGGAUCCGGCGCUGAGAAACCGAACCAGCUCCAGCACCAGGCGAGGCUCUUGGAGCUCUAUCAGAACCAUGUCUCCUCCCUUGCAGAGCAACAUCUGUUGGAACGCCGUAUAGGCCGAAUCCUGGACGUCCGCUACCUGGCUAUUCAUCAUCUUCACCUGCUCAGAACAAUGUCGUGGUCUAGCAACUUCUGGACGACUUCUUCUCCUUCUGAGCAAGCCAGUUUCGUCAGCAGGAACGCCGAAUCCACCUUAUCCAUUUUGGAACCUCCAUCCUUCAAUACGUCUGCCAAGCGUUCUACCAACGGACUGCGUAAUAUCAUCUCCCGGAUUCUCGGGUCCCCUCCUUUCUCGAUUACUGCGACGACAUCAUUGGUGUAAUCCACGAUCUGCGCAUCAUCUCCAUUUAAAAACUCUCUUGAGUAAAAAUUCUACCCUCCGAGGGUCUGAACCUACCGCUGCGGAUAUACCGGACAAGAGAAUUUUCUCCAGCCAGAGUUUUGCACGCCAGGGUAGACGAUUCAACUGAUCGGGCUCGAAAACCUCGAGCUGCCAGCCCAUCUCGUAGAAAGCUUGUAUAAUAUCUAUGGCACGGUUCUGACACACCUCUGAGCCAUGUUCCAGCAGAUCCAUGAGACCUAUGUCAAUCCCUGAUUCAACCAUCAUCUGCACUGCCUCAGAUUUCCCCGCAUUAAUGAAGGACGUUAUUGUCCCAAACACACAGUCAUGCCAUUCUUCUGCAUCGGGCGACAGCAAUUCUGCAAGAUGAUCCAUUGGGACAUUCACCAGAACCUUGCCGAUUGUUCUGCAACUCCCAUGUUCGGCCAGCUUUGCAACCAAAUGAAAUAAGCUGAUUUGAGUCUCUGGGUCACUGCAAUCUCUUAGCAGUUCCAGCAGCUUAUCAACGCUUCCGUGUUCUGCAGGGCAUGGGGGCACUCGCAGUAGUCCUCUUUUGCAAACAGGUCUCUGAUGGCCUUAUCAAGCGCAGCAACAGUGUCUGGAGAGCCAGAAGAGAUCAACUUGGCGACCCUGGGGCCCACCAUGCUGCUGAAGCUCUUCCUGUUAGCUUCUAGCUCAGAGAUGGACUUACUCGCCAUUAGAGCAUGAGCCACCGGCUCUAAUGCGAUCACAGCCUCCCUUUCAUAGAAUAAACUCAUAAGUAUCUUCAUUUUCUCCUCAGCACGGCUCUUCACUUCAUCUUUCCCCAAAACAAAAAGAAACGGAG
This 1346-nucleotide long non-coding RNA is filed under the name Spirodela polyrhiza (greater duckweed). RNAcentral describes it as "long non-coding RNA (SPOL_LNC002554)". Lineage: Eukaryota; Viridiplantae; Streptophyta; Magnoliopsida; Alismatales; Araceae. The record is from RNAcentral.